GUGCUCACUUUGGCAGCACCUAGGAAUAGUACAGAGAAGAUUAGCAUGGCCCCUGCACAAGGAUGACAUGCAAAUUCGUGAAGCGUUCCAUAUUUUU
This is a small nuclear RNA of Dipodomys ordii (Ord's kangaroo rat), 97 nucleotides long. The record is from Ensembl. Lineage: Eukaryota; Metazoa; Chordata; Mammalia; Rodentia; Heteromyidae.